AUACUUACCUGGCAGGGGAGAUACCAUAAUCCCGAAGGUGGUCUUCCCAGGCCAAGGCUUAUCCAUUGCACUCUGGAUGUGCUGACUCAUGCAGUUUCCCCAAAUGCAGGAAACUGGACUGCAGAAUUUGUGGUAGUGGGGACUGCGUUCUCACUCUCCCCU
This is a small nuclear RNA of Ochotona princeps (American pika), 162 nucleotides long. RefSeq annotates it as U1 spliceosomal RNA. The record is from RefSeq and is a predicted model, not a curated record. The transcript has a single exon. Lineage: Eukaryota; Metazoa; Chordata; Mammalia; Lagomorpha; Ochotonidae.